UGCAUUGUACCCACAAGACUCGAGGAAGUUCCUUGUCAUCCAUGACUCGCAGUAUAUUACAUACCCGAGGUAAGAACCCGAACAAUGCCUUUUCCCUAGCGACAAAAAACAAAGGGUCCACUCGUUGCCCCAUGUCCUCAUGAUGUACAUCAUAAAAGCCUCACUCAAGAUCGUACCAUCCUGAGGGGACACAACAAUGUGCAUGGUCU
Molecule: long non-coding RNA, 209 nt
Filed under: Hordeum vulgare
Lineage: Eukaryota; Viridiplantae; Streptophyta; Magnoliopsida; Poales; Poaceae
Description: long non-coding RNA (HVUL_LNC015787)
Source: RNAcentral